AAGUGAAGUAGCUAGCUCCUUAUAUCUCUGGAUGAUUAACUGCUCUUACCUUGGGCGUUUUUGCACUUACAACAGUAUAACGUUCUAAUUAGCAGGGUUUGGGUUGGCCAGGAUCAGGUAUGGUGAUGAGUUUUUGCACUUGACAGCAAUGGAACAGUUUGCUCGGUGAUGCAGAAGGCUAAGGCACUGAUCUUUCUAUAGGAGGAUCGGAGUUCAAGGCCCCUGUCUGCUGUGGAGAGGGGAUGAGCGCCCUCUACUGGCCUCUAGCUCCAGCCAACCUAGCUGUUCGAAAGCAAGUAAUUGCAAGUAGAUAAAUAGGGAGUAUCACAUUGUGUGAUGCGGAAGAUAGACAGAUGUAAGCCUUUGGGCAAAAAAUAACCUUGUAAGCCGCUUUGAGUCAGCUUCGGCCGAGAAAAGCAGGGUAUGAAAACCAAGUUCUUCUUCUUCUUCUUCUUCUUCUUCUUCUUCUUCUUCUUCUUCUUCUUCUUCUUCUUCUUCCAAGCUGACCAGCAGGGGGAGCAGUGCAAAUGGGAAUAUACUAGUUAAGUAGCUGUGUUUGAAUCCAGAGGAGCUGUGUUGGAACGUGUCCGAAACGGCUGCCAAGAUCCAGCCCCCAAAGUCUGAAUCUGGGUCCGAACUGUCUGACAGCACCUGCGCGCCCACGCAGUCCCUGCCCCACUGCUAGAAAGUGGUAUAAACGCACCUUUCCUGAUCUGCAUCUGACCAUGCAAGUCAGCUUCCAGGCCACAAUUUUCUUGACCAGCACUAUUUGGCUUCAGGUGAGCAUCAGGUGGGCUUUGGUAGGUUUCAAGUCAGCUGGGAUUGUUUGCAGGUGUGAAUACUCUGUACUAACAAGUGCCCCUUGUCUCCUUCCCAACAGCUGUCAUUACUGGCUGCUUAUUCUGACUUCGCUCACCAUCAUAUGGAAUUGUAUAAGUUCUUCUGUUGGAUUCAGUGUUUAGCAGCUCUCGACAUCUGUGUGUUAAAAUAGCUCAGGCAACUGGAUUCAACACUGAGAACGACAUAUGAUAUCAAAANGUUUGCUGACUAAACCAAACUUUGUUUUAACUUCAUUUGCUCAAUAAAGGUCUUUU
This 1094-nucleotide long non-coding RNA is filed under the name Salvator merianae (Argentine black and white tegu). Its description in RNAcentral is "lncRNA (ENSSMRG00000009864.1)". The record is from RNAcentral. Lineage: Eukaryota; Metazoa; Chordata; Lepidosauria; Squamata; Teiidae.